CCUCUCAGUCGUCUGCUUAUGGUUCAGGCUGACCUGGAAGGACGUGAUAUGAAAAGAAAGAUAAAGCGACGAGAUUGCUGCUAUGAAGGGAAGGUGUUUAAAGAUCACGAGGUCAAACCGCCCACCCCAGCUCGGCAGUCAGUCCCUCCGCCCCCUACAGACGAUUUCGUAUCUCAAGACACUGCUGAGUCUCCAUACUGCUGCAAUACCUCUGUGGAUAAAGCCUACUAAAUAUUGUGGUUGACUGUCGACACGUGGCUAUUACCCUCCCUACCGUUACUGAGGUUGUCUUUGGUCCAUGCCGCCGGGAAAUCAGUUGCAAAGGACAGUUUGCUGAAUACAUUUAUCGUUCUAAAAUACCUUUCGUAACUCGUUUCGAAGACAGGGGGUCAGCACAGUGGAGGAUGGUCAGAAAUAAAGCAGCAAGAUAGUAACAUUUUCACUCACCUUUGUGUUACGCAUGAUGUUCCUGACUCCAUACGACGUGCACCCAAGGAACUCACUCAGCCUGUCAGAACAAAAACAAGGAUCCUCAUGAGCCUGAUGAGCCUUGCCCAUCCCACGCCUCUCCAUUCUACAAGAGCCAUCACAGCCUGCAAUCCUGUCACCGACAGUCUUAGACACCCAACCUUGACCCCAGGCAGGACAUGAAGACACGUCAGUGACGGACGAAGACGUGUCACCUGUCACAACUGAAGACACGGCAAAUCUGUCGAGCAUCCAGCUCUCAUCAUCUCCGAUCUCAUCUGAUAAAUCGGUUUCCGUCAACGGCACGUCCUCGAGCUCCACGGUGAUUCCAACGGUGACGCCUGCUGCGAUGGUUGCAGCAUCCACGUGGCUGUAAUCGGCUUUGUCCAGGUCCUCGGACCUAGUGACAUCCGAGGGCUGCUGGGGUAAACAGCGUCUGAGGGGACGCACGCAGUUCCAGGAUGCGAAGCGAACUUUGCACGAGCUGCCGGAUCGGUUGGUGCCGGUAAACAGUCGUUUGCCACGUUGAUUCAUGAUGUCUUGCUGGCUUGGUUAGUUGCUUGGAAAAUGCUGGACUUUUUUUUAUACAAACAUUUCUGGCACCAUAAAGUAGAAAUGUAGAUGAGAUCUUUGUCUGACAACACCACCGGUUAAGGCGAAUUCAAAACAAGAUGUUCCUUGUAACAAUUUGCAGGCUGCCUGGGUCUACCACACAAUAAAAAAUUUUUAUCUGUCGCCAAAUUUUCAGUCACCUCCGAUCAUACUAUCUUGUUCAGACUAUUCUCUCCUACACAACAUCUGUCUUGUCCACUUCAGUCUUGAUGGGUUUUGUAAAUGGCGCUUGUCAGCCGCACGCACAUAGUAGGAGCAUCGACACUGAACUGCAGCCACUCACUGAUAAAACAUCCUUACAAGCUUUCCCACCCGCCUCGUCCCACGCAACUUGAAGUCACUCAAUCCCCCGCUACCCUUAUAAGAUACCUUUUUGACAGGUGUUUUUGCCUCCACCCAUCCUCGAUCCCCCGCCUUCCCUCAUGAUCACCUUCAUCCCCGCACGACAGGUGAGGGCGAUGUUCUAGCGCGUGCUUCUCUCAUUGGCUCGACCUCUUAAUUAUUCCCGCCUACUCAAUUUGUCAUUGAUUCCCAGCCGUAGUGGACAGCUGUUCCUGGUGUCCAUACCCCAUCCCACCCACCCACAACCUCCAUUAUGUGAAUUAACAAAGCAGAACGCUUUGCUGCGAUCUUUCGGUCUCUGUUACGCAAACAUGGUCCGUUCUUAGCCGCGAGCUAUAAGGCUAGGGGAUUUACAUACAAUGCCAUCACCUCCAGCUGUACGGCAGGCUUUCGGGGUGGAAGGGGGAAAGGAUUUUCCGCUUGACCGACCAGGAUGAGAUAACAGUCACGCCUGAGAAGCCACCAGACUGUCCGCCGACAACUGGUUCCCCGCUGUAGUCUUACGGAGAUCUUCAGCCUUGUUAGAGGUCCUACACCAGCCAUGCUCACCCUUUCUAGAAUAAAAACCCGUAUGUAUUCCUGGGGAACAAUAUUCUGUAUGUCCAAAAUCCGUGUUUAAUGACAAUAAAGUCUUGAUGGGUUUGCUGUACUUUAAGUCACUUGUGUAUGUUUU
This 2095-nucleotide long non-coding RNA is filed under the name Pomacea canaliculata. RNAcentral describes it as "uncharacterized LOC112574978". Lineage: Eukaryota; Metazoa; Mollusca; Gastropoda; Architaenioglossa; Ampullariidae. The record is from RNAcentral.